CUUUGGUUCUAUUUUGUUGGUUUCUAGGACCGAAGUAAUGAUUAAUAGGGAUAGUUGGGGGCAUUAGUAUUUAAUUGUCAGAGGUGAAAUUCUUGGAUUUAUUAAAGACUAACUUCUGCGAAAGCAUUUGCCAAGGAUGUUUUCAUUAAUCAAGAACGAAAGUUAGGGGAUCGAAGACGAUCAGAUACCGUCGUAGUCUUAACCAUAAACUAUGCCGACUAGGGAUCAGGCAAGGAUAUUUUGACUUGUUUGGCACCUUAUGAGAAAUCAAAGUUUUUGGGUUCCGGGGGGAGUAUGGUCGCAAGGCUGAAACUUAAAGGAAUUGACGGAAGGGCACCACCAGGAGUGGAGCCUGCGGCUUAAUUUGACUCAACACGG
RNAcentral lists this ribosomal RNA (378 nucleotides) under uncultured fungus. RNAcentral's name for it is "SSU rRNA". It matches the Rfam family "Eukaryotic small subunit ribosomal RNA", at positions 828 to 1208 of the family's 1831-position model. Lineage: Eukaryota; Fungi. The record is from RNAcentral.